AAUUUAAUUAAAAAUGAGUAAAAAUGAAAGAAAAGAAAAAUGAAAGAAAAGCUUAAUAAUUACAUCAUGCUUGAGUAAGCAUGAUGCAAUUAAAAGCUCUCCACCAAUCACCAUGAGACAACUAUUUAAUAAACAAAUAAAAAGGAGAUAAAUGAGUAAAAAAAAAUUGAAAAAGCCAUCUUCUUCUCCAGCCAUUCUCCCAUCCAACCCUCUCUUCUCCAUUUUCCUCUCAAAUUCUUCCAUUUUCCUAUCAUUAAAACACCAUUUCAAGCUUCCAAACCAUUACCUUCCUUCACAAAAAUAGUUGGCAACCUUGAUAAACCUCCAUAGCUAGCCAUAAAAACCAAGGAAAGUGAGAAGAGAAGUGAAAGGAAAAUCUGAUUGGCAGCCCCAAAGAGGUGAAUCAAGUGUUACAUUGAUUGAAGGUUGCUUGGAGCUAGAAGAAUAAGGUUAGUGCUAGAAAUUCUCUUGGAAUUUAAAAUUUAUGCAAGUUGAUUUAGGGUUUGCUAAAAUUUGAAAUUUUGUGUUAUGACUUGAAUUUGAUGAUGUUGAGGUUGAUUAUUGACUAUUAGAAGUGCUAUAAAUGUGAAUUGAAGUUUGGAAGUUGGGUGGAAUUGAAAAUUGGGAGUGUUGUUCUUAUGCAGGGAAUUCUGGACCUAUGAGUCCAG
This 668-nucleotide unclassified non-coding RNA is filed under the name Hevea brasiliensis (rubber tree). Lineage: Eukaryota; Viridiplantae; Streptophyta; Magnoliopsida; Malpighiales; Euphorbiaceae. The record is from RNAcentral.